Long non-coding RNA from Gallus gallus (chicken), 8196 nucleotides. RefSeq lists it as uncharacterized. NCBI's taxonomy places the organism in Eukaryota, Metazoa, Chordata, Aves, Galliformes, Phasianidae. The record is from RefSeq and is a predicted model, not a curated record. The transcript is spliced from 2 exons.
CCCUUCUGGAUGAGGCUUUGGCAUGAGAGGCAGAUCCCAUGAAUGCUCCAUCGCGUUACCACAGCAGAGCAGCGCUUGGCAAGCUGAUGCAGGAUACUCCCUCAAGAAAACUUUGAAGGAACAGUGCUGCACGGCUGAACUAGGCAAUUACAAAUAUACCAGACACAGGGCUGAGACCCACCUCACUUCUGUUCUGCUGGAGUUCAUAGAAUCACCAAGGUUGGGAAAGGCCCACAGGAUCACCCAGUCCAACCAUCACCAACAGUUCUCAAGAGUUGCAGCACAGUGAAUCACUCCAACCUUCCCUCAAGGAGGGACAGCACAAUAGGAUCAGCCUCUUCUGCACUGCUCUGAAAUCACAAUUCAGAAAAUGGACAAAGUGGAUAAUAAAUUACUCUUCUUAUGCCAGGUAUUUUCCAUUUUGUGUUUUAACCGUUGUUGGUUCUUGGCACUGUUAAACUGUUAAUGGUAAAUUCAAAAGGAAUUGAGGACCUGGCUUCCUGGAUCGUAGUUUUUGGCUUUCCUGCACAAUAGGAUGAAGCCUGAAAGUCCCUUUUGUUACAUGCAGGUACCCAACUCUACUUCGUUACCAAUUAUCCUUCCUCAGUCUCUCCAUCCCUGUAUUACAUAAGGGUUCAGGUGAGACUCCUAAGAUAUCUGACUGCUUUAGCAUGUUUGGUUUUAUGUCUUUGUUACUUUAUAUCUCUCUUUGGCAGUUACAUCUACCUACAUAAUUGCUCUCAUUAAAAGGCUUAGUCAUGGUCUGAAGUAAGUGUAACCCACUGUUAUCUGUGCACUUAAGCAAAUUUCAGCACAGAAAAUUGGGGUAUCAUCUAAAUAUCAGACUACAGGAAGAUAAAACAAUCUAUACUGAAAAUCCAGAAUAAAAAGAAAUAACAGGCUUUGAAGCAGGCCUACCACCGAUUUCAGCUAUCCCCAAAACUGUACCAGGAAGGUUUUAAAUGGGUUUAAACCUCAGAUUUUUCACCUUUGGAAUUCCAGCCCUGUGACUGGUACGUGUGAGCUGAAAGGAGCACAGUCUGCACAGCGCAGUGCUGCAGGAGUGGCAGUUCUCUGAAACUGGAACCAGUCUUGGAAUUACAGUGGUGCUUCUUUUUCCAGGGAAAGGAAGGGAGUGGAAAUGGAAAAACAUCAGUGAGAAAAACCAAACAGGGCCCAAAAUUCAGAGCUGAGGAAGUCUGCAAUGGAGAAUCUAGUUGAGACAGCUGUGCUGAGGCUGACCUAACCUGGGGCUGACCAAGCAAGUUCCAUGAUGUCAUAUUUUGCUAUGAUGGGCCAUUAAAUUAAGUCGCUGGUCCAGACCUUCCUCCUGACACCUAUUAAAUCUACAGCUUUGGAGCUGGAGUUGUCAAGGUAGCACUGCAUCAGAUACCAGGGGAAUCCACGCACACUGUUACAGAAGAUUGCUGCUUGCAUAAAACCUCUUUGCUCUUUUCUUGAUUGUAUAUUCAGGAUAUAUUUUGCAGGCAUAGUCUACGAUUAGAUUAAACAAGCAAAGGAAUUAUUUAUUGCCUGUCCCACUGCACCUACUGCUUAACACCAGAUGAAACUAAAACAAUGGCUUCUGAGCUUGGGUCAAUAGUCUUCCUCUAUAGUCUACCCUCAAUUUCAAAAGCAUAGAGAAAAAAUGGUUAAUUCUACGGUGCCUGCGUUACAAAAAGGAGGAUUCAUUCAUAUUUACAGCAGCCACAAGAACUUCCAAAUAUAUAUUUUUCCAACCUGAAGGGUUUCAGUGACUUGUUCUACAUUUCCAUAGUAGACAAUAGAUCUCACAUAGCACUGUGAUCCAAUCUGCUUUUCUUUGCAGCAGGUAAUUGUAGGACGUUUUUAGGGAUACCUGUAACCUCACAACAUUGCCCUGCCUACUUCAAAAGAAGCUGUCAUCAAAAAGUAUUACCAGUCAAAAGAGUCAGUGAUACAAUUAUCUUUUUAAACAAACCCAGAAUAGUGGAUCAAACGCACACUACUUUUGAUUAUCCUCAGUCAAGUUUUCUUUAGGGGAUUCUCUGAGCAUCUCCUUCCCCUCAUUCGAAUUAUCAAACUCUCAUUUCUAGACCUCAGAGAACACCUACACGCUCCCUUCUGCUUCCUUCUUCCCACAACCUGAAGUUAAAUGUGGAGCACUUCCUCUGCCACCACUCUUGAAGCCUCAGUGGCCCACCCAACAAUGCCACUCUGUGGCUGGACAGGUAGAGAGAUGUUCUUGCAAUACUCAUUCCUCUUGACAAAUAUCAAUUAUUGUGACCAGGUCUUUUAACAAAAUAAAUACUGACUAGCAGCUAAGAGACUGGCUACUGGCUGCUUCUCACCUCCACCAGGAGCCCUGAAGUGCAGGACAGAAUCCAGGAAAGAUUUUCUGGAAAAUGAAGAGACCCAAUAAAGCCUCUAAGCCCAGGCAAGUCAAUAAACUGUCACAGUUGCCCGGAAGGAAUUGGCUCGUCUUAGAUAAACUCACAAAGGCCCUGAAAAAACACAACUUUUUUUUUUUAAAUGGCAGAGAUUAAUUUUCUGACUUCAAAGUAGUAUUAAUGCAGAACUUGGCUAAGGUUUCCUGUGCAAGCAGUUUCCCCCCGAGCAAUGAUUUCAGAAUCCGCCUUGUUUUAAGGCUGGCAUUUGCUGCAGCUGCAGACCUGGAGUAUUUUCGAUCCCCUCUGAGUGCUGGAACACUAUCCAACAAUUAAACCACAACCCAAAAACAAUCAAACAUCUGUUUGGAGGAAGGCUGCUCAGUGACUGACAUUCUCAUGCCAGCAUAAACACGAAAGCUGCUGAGUGAUUCCUGUCUUUUGUGUAUAUAUGUAUACGUAUGCACCGCUUGUGUAUUUUUUGUUCCUGCAUGCAGAAUAUGUAAAUAUGCUUAAGAGCAUUUUUAUUGCAAUAUGUGGGUGUACUUGUAUAGCUUAUUUGUGGAAGUAUUUUCAUUGGCGUGAACACACAGAUUUGAAUGUCAGCUUGAGAUGUGGUUAUUUGUGUGCUGGAGGUGGUUUUGCAGGAGGCCAAAGCGAACGUGGAUUGGGAGUCUGCAAGCAGGUAUGUGUUUAUGCAGUGCUGCAUGUGUUGGUGUACGUUCAUUUACAGGUAUCAGCUUGAUUUCAUAUGGGCAAAAAUAGCAUUACGGCUGCAUGUAGUUUUGUGGAGAGGCAAGGAUUCUGAAGUGUUUGCAUGUGUGUGUGCACGUGGAACUGACUGCAGCAAGGUGUCUGUGCUUUCUGAUGGACAACUGUCCUAUGCCUGACCUCCACACUCUGCCUUUGAACUAAUCAGAUACUUGGGCUAUAGCAGCCGAUGUCCCUUAUUUUAAGCACCAAAAAGGGACAGACUGCUGGAAGCAGUUCAGAAUUGCGUUCAAAACAGCAGUGAGGUCUGGUCCUGAUGAAAUCCCAGCCUCCUAAAAGUACUGAUUUCAAGAACUCCCAUGGGAACACAACAGGGUAUUGAAGGAUGACUUGUUUCAAGGGCUUUGGAAACAGGAAUGAAUGCUGACAUUAGUUCUCUCUGUCUAGAGAGCAAAUUGCUCUCCUUCCUAAAAGCACUUUUCAGACUCCAUGCAGGUAACUCUUUUUGUCCUAUUUUAUUUAUAGAUUUCAAAUAAUGACGGCCUGGGUAAAGCAGUAUGCAAAUGACAUUCAUUCCCAACAGGAACUCCCUCUGUGUAAAACCAAGACCAGCUUUCAGAAAAUACAACUGUUCCCAAUCCAAGCCAAAUGACAGCUUGUGCUGCUCCCACCGGUUAUCCCCGAACCCCCAAGGUCCACAGACUGCUGCUUGCCAUUUGUGGUGUCUUUAUAUACCUAGAAAUAUGUGAGUCACCACAGCAGGUGCUAGCCAUAACCUGCUUGCCUGAAAACAUCAGUAUCAGAAGUGACAGAAUCUGGGCCACCCACUGGCUGUAUUUCUGGAGCAUCCCUCUGUCUAGGAGGGAGCAGCUGGAGAUCUUUGCUUUAGAGCAUUUAUCAAAUAUCCUGUUGCUGGAGUAUAAGAACACGCCAUCACAGGAAAGACAGACUUGAUGAUCUUCCCACUGUGAGCCCCACAGCUUAACUUAUUGUUGUAGGCUCCUAAUCUUUUGCACCAGCCCUAUUUUUCUUUUCAGCAGUUUAAGCUGAAAAAGUUUACUAGAUAAUAGAUUUGCCUCAGAAAUCACAGGAGGUUCUAUUCCUUAGCAGUUAAGCCAGAGUAAGGCAUGGAGUGCAGUAGAGGAGCACAGAGAAAUGGUAUUCUCCUGCCAUGCCCCCUGCCCAGGUACGCUUCCAUUUGAACUCUUGCAAACACCAGACUACAGCAUUGGUUAGGAUGCUUUAGCAGAUCUGGCGCUGAUGACACGAGACACAGGCAGGCUGAGCCCUUCCCCCUGCCCUCAUGCUGGCCAUUUCAGUGCUAUUCCAGGACGAGCUCCUGGAACUCAGCAAUGCAAAGAUGACAUAAGUGCAAUGUUCAGAGGUUAAAGCUUCCAUCCAUUUCUGAUACUCCUCACAAUACUCAUUUCUUACUUCAUCACAAAUUUUUGUCCUCUUUUUGCACACAGAAGCCAUACAUCCUGACUACAAGAAUCAGCACAAAGAAAACGUGAUGGAUGAUGCUCAUGUGUUUAUACUACACAGCUAUUCUGCUGCAUGGCUUCUCAGAAGCCAUGUCAGUAGCUUGCAUGGUCUGUGUGCUACUGAGUGACCAGAUAAUGACUCUUAACCCUACGUAACAUAUAUAGGAAAUACUUUUAAUAGUGGUUUAGUAAUGAUUGGGUUAGAAGGUGGUCCACUGGAAACGGCAGGCAGUGAGAAAUUUUUCUGAGAGGUUAAGAAGUCAUAGGAUCCACUUAACGCAUAUCAGUUACAUCCCUGACUUCCUAAAGCAUAGCCUAGGAAUAGCUAAGCUCCUCUUUUAACGCUGUAUGUGUGGCAGAACUGGUUCUACAAAAAGUGUAGGAUAAAGAAUGAACUACUGCUGAGUUUAUUCAGGGCCUAUUCAAUUUACACAUGUUGGCAUGCUGUCUUGUAUUUGUUGUUGUGGUUUAUGCAUUUUUCAUUAAAGGAGGAUCCUAGGUGCCAAAAUGUUAACCAUCACUGCUGCUAAUAUUAUUUAGAUUUGCCCUGGGUUCAUAUUAGAAAACAUGCAGAAAAUUUACAAGUACAGAAAGUCUUCUCAUUCAUGGAUUUCUUCCAGCUCUGCUCAUCCCUUUUGUGCUUUCCAAUCCUGUACUAAUUUAUAAGCACUGAUGGAAAUCAAAUCCUUCCUGGUUCCUGCUCCUUCAGUACCACUAACUAUGGCCCUGUUAAUCCGUCCUCCAAUGCUUGUAGCAUAUGAAUAUCUCGGAAUCACUGCUGCUUUGCAGGCUUCUAUGCUAAAUUAAAACACAGCAAAUACGACAUGCGGUCUCUCCGAUUCCAUACAAAGACCCUACAGUAACUCAGGAACAGCCACCACCUGACUCCAGUACUUCAGCUGCCAUGUCAUCAUUAACCUGAACCCGUUUUUAUCCACAGAUUCAAUUGAAACCAGCUACUCAUCAUGAUUUAUGAGAGUCUUUGGGACAGGAGCUGAUCACAUGUAAGCAAGUCUUCAUCUCUAAGAAGCACUCUGAGUUUCUAUUCUGACAAUCUUUGAAUUCUCUUCUUAGGAGUUGGAAAACAUCACUUAGUAGAACUGGGAGGAGGUGUUACAUUCUUAAGCCACAUGUUACACAAGAUAUGUCUGCAAGCAAACCGACAACAGAAGGACUGCUCUUUAUUGUACAAUGCCAUGUUCACUCCUGGCUUUUUCCAACACAGGACCCCUCUACAGGGCAUAACGCAAUGAUUAUGACAAAGGCACUUAAUCAACAUUAGCAGCUGCUCAAUUUCUAACUCUUGUUUUCCCACAAACUCCAUCUCCAGGAAAAUACAGAGUGCAACUCAAGGAAGCUCUCAGCUGUCCUCCACUUCGUGCAUUUCCAAAGCAGAUGUAAAACAACUUCUGGUCUCUCUUAUGUUCCUAUCUUGUUGAUCUGUGAUUUAUGACUGUAAGACCUUGGAACUUUGAACUGUUCAAUUCAAAUGCAUUCUUUUUUCGUUGUAGGAGUUUUAAGUAAUAUCUGAAGCUCUUAAUUUGUGGAUUAGCACAUUUACCUACACCACAAUUAGUCCAACUCUGAGAAAGCCCAAGACUAACUUUUGGUUCAUUACUCUGUCAAUCAAUAAGCAUCACAUGUGCUACCAGCCAUUCACCUAUAGGAAUGCUCCAGUUUGUUUCUACAUUCCCAGUCACCACUGAUUCAUCUGUCCAAGUCAUAUAACUGUUUUCUUUCUUGGUCAGUAAACUAGAUCAAAGCCUUGAUAUUUUUUAAGAAAAAUCUUGUAUUAAAGAGCAUGUGAGACCCUGAGAAGGUGGAGGCAAACACAUUUGCCACACCAGCGCUCAUCUCAGCUGACAACAGCAGCUUCCUGUGCUCUGUCCUGGGGGGAUAAGGGGCUGUUAAAUCCUCACAUCUGCCACCCCAGUGCACAGCUGUGAGUGGCUCAGGGAGAACCAUCCCUGCUUGCCCAGCUGCCCCCUUCUACUCACUGUCACUCAGCAAGUAACUAUUUCACAGGCCUCACAGAAAACAAUGGGAGCUUUCAGGAAUGAAAUAAAAUCUUUACUCUGAUAGGAAGGCAGCUGUGAGACACAUGAAAGCUUCUGCUUGCUGUCUCUUACUUGUCUCACAAGGUUCAGAUCGAAGGAGUCACAGCAAACCAUCUACAGUGAAACCCUUCACAAAGGUCAGUGCUGGAAAGAGUCUGAACAUGUGGUACCCUGCAGAAAGAUGUGUGGAUAGACAGAUAAACAGCUCACUGACAAGGUAGAUGGAUGCAGAAUGAGGAGGAGCAUACAUGGAAACAGAAUAUAAAAGGAAAAAAGUGAUCAAGAAAGCAAAUUGAUUUUCACUGUUUGUUUUGACAUCCCCAAAGAGGACCCCGUGAUCCUGAGGAAAUCCUGAGGAAUCAUUGCUCUCACUGCUGAUAUUCAGCCACCUUUGGGGCAGAAGGCUGCAGCCUUUAACAGCACUCACUUAUCCUAUAAACCAGUUUAUCACAAACUCACCUCAUAUUAAGGUGCUUUAUAACCCUGGGGGAAAAGUAUCACCUGUUAAAGAGCAAUUACCUCUGCAUUUCCCUUUAGGGCUAUUUUCUCAUCUAAGAACUGAUGAGGUCCAACGCUACUUCAGCUUGCUAAUUAUUCUAACUUCAGGACGUUAGUGCUGCUGAUUAGGAAGUGCGCUGCACCCAGAACAUAGAUGAAUUUAUUUCCUACGGGUAUGCAAUGCUGCACACUUGCAGUGUACUCAUACAGCACUGAGAAGUUAGGAAAAUUAACCCAUGUGGUAAUGUGCCCAGAUGCCUUCCAAUAGCUAGGAGGUCAUAUUUAAACGUUUAUUCCACCCGAUGACAAAUCUGAAUUCACAUCCUUAUACUGUCCUUCUGUCUCCUACCACCUCACUUCCCAGCUCCUGUACUCUCCCUGAGGCACUUCUCUAUCUUUUCCCCUCCUUCCUCUCUUGCUCACACUGGACUAUAAAUAAGUCUGCUUAACACAAACAUGCUUGCUCUGAGUAGUUACUUAUAUGAAAAAUAAUACAUGUUUGUAAGCUUCUUUGUCUUUCCCUUCUUCUACAUUUCAGUUUUGAUUUUCUCUUAUGUUUUGAACAGAUUCCUAUUUUCUACGCUUGAAUAACACUCCUGAAAAUGCUUCUUGUUGGUGUAAAUUUGACCUGUGCUGGUACAGCACGAAUCCUUGCAUUUCCCCUGGUGUUACAUUGCAGGUAGGGAAUAAGGUUUUACUGCUGAUAAUACAGAGGAGUUCUUUAUCUUACAAGGUAAGGAUUCAGGCUUUCAGCUCGGAAGCUCAAGAGCUCAAUGCCAUUGAUGACCCAGGGGAGGAGCUGUGAUACAGGAUCCCAUCACUGAUUUCCACGCUGCCAUCUCAUCAUCAAGUAGUCGAAACCCUUAACCCAUGUGAGCACUUCACCAUGCUAGAGAACUCAGCUCCUCACAGAACAGAAAACAAUGACCACUUGUUAAGCAUUUGUUUGAAAGAGGAAGAAAAAGAGUAUUACAAUGAGUGAUUUCAAUCUCUGUGCUGUCAGCUGAAGGUUCCAUGCUGCCAGAAACAAACAAAUGUAUUCCCUGUUUACAAAUGAUACCAAACAUUUUUAACCUCAAA